CGGGCGGACGGGUGAGUAACGCGUGGGUAACCUACCUCAUACAGGGGGAUAACAGUUGGAAACGACUGCUAAUACCGCAUAAGCCCACGGCUCGGCAUCGAGCAGAGGGAAAAGGAGCAAUCCGCCUUGAGAUGGCCUCGCGUCCGAUUAGCUAGUUGGUGAGGUAACGGCCCACCAAGGCGACGAUCGGUAGCCGGACUGAGAGGUUGAACGGCCACAUUGGGACUGAGACACGGCCCAG
This 241-nucleotide ribosomal RNA is filed under the name uncultured bacterium. RNAcentral's name for it is "partial 16S ribosomal RNA". It matches the Rfam family "Bacterial small subunit ribosomal RNA", at positions 95 to 334 of the family's 1533-position model. The record is from RNAcentral.